CACACCAUAGCCCUUGAUAAGAAGGGGAAUGAGGUUCUCUUUCAACCUGCUAAGAAAUUUUUGCCUGCAAUUCAAAAGGUACGAACAGCAUUGAGAGAGAAAGUCAUGAAAAUACAAGGNNNNNNNNUUUGCAUCUCUGUACAUUUCCGACAGGUUAGAGAAGAGGAUUAUGGAAUUUUAGAGAAGACAGUGAAAUCUGUUCUUGAACAUUAUCCGGAAUUUCACUUAAGCUGGG
This 235-nucleotide unclassified non-coding RNA is filed under the name Hevea brasiliensis (rubber tree). Lineage: Eukaryota; Viridiplantae; Streptophyta; Magnoliopsida; Malpighiales; Euphorbiaceae. The record is from RNAcentral.